AUACGUAGGGAGCGAGCGUUGUCCGGAAUUACUGGGCGUAAAGGGUGCGUAGGCGGCAUGGCAAGUCAGAUGUGAAAUCCCCGGGCUUAACUCGGGAGUUGCAUUUGAAACUGCUGUGCUUGAGUGCAGGAGAGGAAAGCGGAAUUCCUAGUGUAGCGGUGAAAUGCGUAGAUAUUAGGAGGAACACCAGUGGCGAAGGCGGCUUUCUGGACUGUAACUGACGCUGAGGCACGAAAGCGUGGGGAGCAAACAGGAUUAGAUACCCUGGUAGUCCACGCCGUAAACGAUGGAUACUAGGUGUGGGGGAGAUACAACCUCCGUGCCGCAGCAAACGCAAUAAGUAUCCCGCCUGGGGAGUACGGUCGCAAGGCUGAA
This 375-nucleotide ribosomal RNA is filed under the name uncultured bacterium. Its description in RNAcentral is "bacterial SSU rRNA". It matches the Rfam family "Bacterial small subunit ribosomal RNA", at positions 523 to 898 of the family's 1533-position model. The record is from RNAcentral.